Molecule: long non-coding RNA, 1542 nt
Filed under: Gossypium barbadense (sea-island cotton)
Lineage: Eukaryota; Viridiplantae; Streptophyta; Magnoliopsida; Malvales; Malvaceae
Description: long non-coding RNA (GBAR_LNC021470)
Source: RNAcentral
AGCAUUUAGCUAGUCAAAAUGAUGAAAAAUGCUACCUAAACAUUUACCUAACUCCACUAAGUAGCAUAGAAACUUGAUAAACAUAACUUGUACACUUGGUAAAGCUGAUUUAUCAAUCUAUCAGCACCUAAUUACAUCAAACAUGCUAACAACUUAGUUUAUAUCUAACUAAGUGGCAAAAACAUCCACUUGAAAAUAACAAAACAUCAGCAUGAGCUUCAGCAGCAACUUGCAUGGCUCGGGCAGCUUGGUCUGCUUCAUGGUCUGCAUGGAAGCCAACUUCAACAGCCCCAUCUCAUCGGCCUCUUCAUGAACAUCUUCAAGAUUCUCAUUAUCUUCCAUAUUGGCUUCUUGUUUCCAUAACUACUAACAUUGACAUUGACGUUUCUUCAUUAAUUUUUUUCCUAACAACAUUACCUUACAUCUCUCCAUUUCAAUCCAAACUCUCUAGUCAUAGGGAUUUUUGUAUUCAUCCACCCACGAACAGUGUGCUUGGCUCUAUCAAGUGAGGUGCUUACCCGAUUUGUCUUCAUAUGAUUCAAGCUCAGUCUUAUUUAUCAAGCCUAAUUCCUUUGGAUGCUACUUAGGCCCAACUAGACAUGUACAUCAUCCAAUGAAUUUUGGUUUUCUUCAGGCAAAUCUCCUUUACAUGUCCAUAUUGUAAUGGCCCAAUAUUUCCCGGCCCGAUAAAUAAAUAAAACCAAUACAAAAACAAAAUUAAAAGUCCAAUAAACAUGUCCAAUUUACAACAGGCCCAAAUAGCCACUAAACCCAAACACACUAGGCCCAUUAAAAUUUGAACCCAAUUUGCCUAGACCCUACCCCAAUCACGAAAUAGCCCAAUCCAAAUUUCCUAAUACCUAACCUAGUCAGCCCAAUACACCACCUAAUUACAUACCAGAAAUUAAAUAACGAAACCCAAAAUACAUUACCCAAGCCCAAACCUGAAUGCAUUAAGCCCAAACGGCGCCAGGUUUUCUACAGUUUCAGAAGCCCUAAGGGUUUCUAGAACUUUCAGCGCCGUAGCCACGCCUCCGAGCCGAGCCACGCCACACGCCUCCGUACACACUAGCUGGCCCUCCUGCACGCCGUACCUGCAAAGGACAAACAAACAAACAAAGCAGAAGAGGCAGAGGAAAAGGGGUAGAAAUCGACAGCAAAUCAAAGAAAAUGAUAAAACCAUUUUUGUAAUAUUCGGCAAUAUAAAAAUCCGAUUGAUUCAUUUUUGUCAGGUUACAUACACGAAUAUGGAAUAGAAAAAAAGGGAUUCAGAUCAAAAAAAGGUGAUUUUGAGUUUUUUUCUUCUUCGUUCCUCUCGAUUUUUCUUUUUUCGACUUUUAGAUUUCUUUUUCCUUUAUUUACUAUUUGAAAAAGGGAAGCGAAAGGAAGGUGAAGGUUUUUACCUUUGUGGCAAAGUCGAACCCUCGUCCUCUUCGUUGUAAUCGGAGAUAGGACGAGGAAUCGGGGCCUCCAAGCGUCAGUUGGGCGAACGGCGCACAAAGGGGAGGAGAUCUUUUUUUUCUAGGGUUCCAUAGAUUUUUU